GUGAGGAAUAUUGCGCAAUGGGCGAAAGCCUGACGCAGCGACGCCGCGUGAGGGAUGAAGGUUUUCGGAUCGUAAACCUCUGUCAGAAGGGAAGAAACUACGUUGUGCUAAUCAGCAGCGUACUGACGGUACCUUCAAAGGAAGCACCGGCUAACUCCGUGCCAGCAGCCGCGGUAAUACGGAGGGUGCACGCGUUAAUCGGAAUUACUGGGCGUAAAGCGCACGUAGGCUGUAGUGUAAGUCAGGGGUGAAAUCCCACGGCUCAACCGUGGAACUGCCUUUGAUACUGCACAACUUGAAUCCGGGAGAGGGUGGCGGAAUUCCAGGUGUAGGAGUGAAAUCCGUAGAUAUCUGGAGGAACAUCAGUGGCGAAGGCGGCCACCUGGACCGGUAUUGACGCUGAGGUGCGAAAGCGUGGGGAGCAAUCAGGAUUAGAUACCCGGGUAGUCC
This 450-nucleotide ribosomal RNA is filed under the name uncultured bacterium. RNAcentral describes it as "partial 16S ribosomal RNA". It matches the Rfam family "Bacterial small subunit ribosomal RNA", at positions 354 to 796 of the family's 1533-position model. The record is from RNAcentral.